CCUACGGGACGCAGCAGUAGGGAAUUUUCGUCAAUGGGCGCAAGCCUGAACGAGCAAUGCCGCGUGAACGAGGAAGGUCUUCGGAUCGUAAAGUUCUGUUGACGGGGAAAAAAGACCGGGAAAGGAAAUGAUCCCGGAGGAGAUAUUACCCGUCGAGGAAGUCACGGCUAACUACGUGCCAGCAGCCGCGGUAAUACGUAGGUGGCAAGCGUUGUCCGGAAUUACUGGGUGUAAAGGGAGCGUAGGCGGGAAGCCAAGUCAGCUGUGAAAACUACGGGCUUAACCUGUAGACUGCAGUUGAAACU
Molecule: ribosomal RNA, 305 nt
Filed under: uncultured bacterium
Lineage: Bacteria
Description: bacterial SSU rRNA
Rfam family: Bacterial small subunit ribosomal RNA
Source: RNAcentral